UUUUUGUUCUACAAAGGAGCAGAAGAUUUUGUUCCAGGGCCUGUCUUCCUAAACCUCAAAGAAUUAUCAGAAAAAAUGAAAAUAAAAUAAAAAUAAAAAUAAAAGAAUUAUCAGGCCCAGAGCUCGCUGUCAGACCCAUCUCUUCACAGCGAACACAACUCGCGAGUACUGAGAAAGGGCGAGGCAGUCCCUUGCCUGUCCGGGGAAGUCGAGGCUCAGGAGGCGGGUCAAGGCAUUUGCCGGGUCCUUUAACCAGGCCCUAGCUUGGCUUCUGACUUCCCCGUGCGCCUCACGAGGACGGAUGCUCUAGUGGCAGGGUGACCGCAAGGACCAGGACGGGGAAGCCCCUGCACCUUGGCGCAUGCGCAUCGCCCAACCCCUCUGGGGCAUCCUCUGUCAGGGCACCAGCGUCUUGUGCUGCAGGGCUUCCUCUUGGGGAGUAGGCAACCGAGGACUGGAGGAUCCAUGUGUGAACCCGGAGGUGGGAAGGCCGAGCGACUAUGAAAGUAAGAGAAUGAAAUACCACUUCUGGGCAGGGUCUGAGGAAGGGGCAGCAGGCGGUGUGUCCGGCUGAAACGAUGGCAAGAAAAAGCCUCUGAAGUAGGCAAGAAGCAGGCCAAGGAAAUGGACGAGGAAAAUAAGGCAUUCAAGCAGAAACAGAGGGGCGGAAGAAACUGGAAGAGCUAAAAGCAAUGGCUGCAGAGAAAAGGCCCUCUGGCCACAGGUGGAAUUAAGAAAUCUGGCAGAAAAAAAAAAAAAAAAAAGAAAUCUGGCAGAAAUCUCCUUGUGCCCAAGGCAUUGGUGAUCCUUAAUUCCAUUUCUGUUUAAACAUCUGGAUUCCUUGUCAUAGCAUCUGUUCCCACUUAUGGCUGGAAUGAAGUGUUGUCUUACAUUCUGUUGUACAAUUAAGAAUAAACUUUUCUAAAAAAAAAUAAUAAAGUGAUCAUCAUUAAAAAAUCUCACUUCUAGGGCAGCCCAGGUGGUUCAGCGGUUGAGCAUCUGCUUUCAGCCCAGGGCGUGA
Long non-coding RNA from Canis lupus familiaris (dog), 1021 nucleotides. RefSeq lists it as uncharacterized. NCBI's taxonomy places the organism in Eukaryota, Metazoa, Chordata, Mammalia, Carnivora, Canidae. The transcript has 2 exons. The record is from RefSeq and is a predicted model, not a curated record.